Molecule: ribosomal RNA, 465 nt
Filed under: uncultured bacterium
Lineage: Bacteria
Description: partial 16S ribosomal RNA
Rfam family: Bacterial small subunit ribosomal RNA
Source: RNAcentral
GACGAACGCUGGCGGCACGCUUAACACAUGCAAGUCGAACGAGAGAAGAGAAGCUUGCUUUUCUGAUCUAGUGGCGGACGGGUGAGUAACACGUGAGCAAUCUGCCUUUCAGAGGGGGAUACCGACUGGAAACGAUCGUUAAUACCGCAUAACAUAAUUGAACCGCAUGAUUUGAUUAUCAAAGAUUUAUCGCUGAAAGAUGAGCUCGCGUCUGAUUAGCUAGUUGGUAAGGUAACGGCUUACCAAGGCGACGAUCAGUAGCCGGACUGAGAGGUUGAUCGGCCACAUUGGGACUGAGACACGGCCCAGACUCCUACGGGAGGCAGCAGUGGGGAAUAUUGCACAAUGGAGGAAACUCUGAUGCAGCGAUGCCGCGUGAGGGAAGAAGGUUUUAGGAUUGUAAACCUCUGUCUUCAGGGACGAAAAAAGACGGUACCUGAGGAGGAAGCUCCGGCUAACUACGUG